This 953-nucleotide long non-coding RNA is filed under the name Anas platyrhynchos platyrhynchos (common mallard). Its description in RNAcentral is "lncRNA (ENSAPLG00000029009.1)". Lineage: Eukaryota; Metazoa; Chordata; Aves; Anseriformes; Anatidae. The record is from RNAcentral.
CAGAGCUCUGAGCUGUUCUCCUGGCCUUGCAGGCGCACACCACCCGCUCCAGCCAGCGGUGCCUGGCCUUUGUGGAUGACGUCCGAUGCUCCAACCCGUCCCUGCCGAUGACCAGGCACUGCCUUACUCAUCCUCCUCCAGCUCUGCGCGGGGAGCAGCCCGGGGAGCAGGAAGCUGCCAUUGUUUCUCUCCAGCGGCCGUACACUUGAAAAUAAAGGCAGGAUAAAUACCUACAAAACGCUUCGAGCCAGUUGCUGUUUGCAGGUGGCUGGGAGCAGGGGCAGGGAGUGGAAAAAAGGUUUUCUUUCCUCGUGGCUGAGCCCUCAGCUGACUUUGGCUGCCACAAACAAGAUCUUUGCUUCGAGUAGCCCCGGCGAGCCGAUAACAUCUGCAGCCUGCCGCGCUUUGCGCCUUGUGGGGAGGCUCUGGGGCUUUGUUUGGUUUUCCAGAAGCUCGAUUGUUUGCCACGGGGCGUUACGGGGAGCGCAGCAGCUGAGCUGUCAGGCUCCAGGUGGAGCUGGGGCUUUCGUCGUCUUGGCAGCCGCUGCUUUUUGGCUACCAGGAGAGCGAGCGCUUGAGCUGGAGUCAUCGGGAGAGAUUAAAAUCUGGCAUCCCCGCCCUGCCGCUCCUGCAGAGACGCUUUCCUCACCCCCGAGUGCCUGCUCAGUCUGGCUUCUUGGGGCUGAGCUCUGCACCGUUAGGGCCAGCACUAAUUAGGGGCUCUGCCAGGAGGCUUUGAGAGCCCGUGGAUGCUUCCUCAGUGCACAGAGGAAUAGGUUUUCCACUGGGAAGGAAAAUGCAGUGGGAAGCUGGAAAUAACCGGAACCCAACUCCUGGCGGUGGGAGCAGCAUUGUGCGCGCUGCCGUCCCCGCUGCCUGCUGGACCUGGAAACCGGUGCAGACGCCUCUGAAAUGGACGUCUGCAAAUCAAAGUGAGCCCGGGCAUGUGGAAU